UCAUUUGGAAUUCUUCCGCCU
Molecule: non-coding RNA, 21 nt
Filed under: Caenorhabditis elegans
Lineage: Eukaryota; Metazoa; Nematoda; Chromadorea; Rhabditida; Rhabditidae
Source: RNAcentral